CCAGGAAGCCUUCUGCAAAGGGAGGGCGGGCGCUUUUGCCCUUCCUGUCUCCCUGCUGACUGGAAAGCUGAUAUGAGGCUGGCGCCCCAAUUAGCGAUGCUGGACCUUGAAGACACAGCUGAGGGUUGAGAUCCCUUACUCUGGGGGAAGCAAGCCUUGUGAGCAGCCUUAUGGAGAGGCCCACAUGAUUAGGAAAUGAAGUUUCCAGCCAACAGCCAACAAGAAACUGAGGCCUGUCAACAGCCAUGUGUGUGUCCUUGAAAUGGAUCCUGAGCCUUCAGUGACUACAGCCCUGGCUGACAGCUUGACGGUAACUUUAUGAGCGACUCUGAGCCAGAACCCCCAACAUCAGUGUGCCCAGAAUAAAAACCAACCAACGAACCAACCAACCAAACAGAAGUUACCCAAGAAGAAAAGUGGGACUCAAUCUACAGAAUCAGAGCACCUUGGGUCUUGGCUGCUGAAACACAAAACAAAUUUCCAGUGGAAAGGAAGCCAUAACCUAGAUUGUUAGACGGAUUUUGGUGUCAAUCCUGAAUAAAAUCUUGGCUUUACUACAUUUUAGUUUUGUGACCAUAGGGCAUCUAGGUGGAUGAUUCAGGCCGGGAAGCUCUUCAGUCAGCUGAACGACAAAAAGGACCUGGUCACGCCUGUGACUUAGCUCCGUGCCUCAGUUACAGGUAUCUGACGCUUGAACAUGUUGCGUCUCAGGCUCACUUCUACCAGAGGAAAAAGAGAAGACCCUUGUUCUACCUCUUCAGAGCCUACUGGAACCCUGAGGAAUUUACUAAUGAGGUCCAAUUACAGAAAAUUUCAGGUUUUUAAUCAACUUCAGAUGCACAGUUGAAGGGUUCAGCUCAACCCCCCUGAGAAAAUGUACAUUAAACAAGAUUUCAGAUGAACUGCACACUUGAUUUUCCUACUGCUUCCCCACAUCCAGCCCUCUCCCCACUUCCAAUCAUCUAUAGCAUCUCCACCCUUGCUCCCCUCAUUUCCCCUCUGCCCUCAUCUUCCCUCCCCCAGAUUUCACAAAGAGCUGUGGACUUCAGCUGCCCCUUUUGAAAAAAAACUGCAGGACACACAGAGCUCUGCAAACUGAUCCACCAGGCUGGUUUCUGCCCAAGCCCUCCCCAGCCCUAAUUUGUGGCUUUCACCUAGGUGUGCUGGGAAGACUUUUCCUGGCUGUUUCCACCCUCGUUGACUGCUAGCAAACAAUCUUUGUUUCCUCUUCGAGGAUAUUUUUGAAGGCAGAUUAGAGGCUUGAAAAAACACUUGGAAUAACUCUUUAAACAGGUUUUCCAAACACUGGUGGAAGGAAACAAGCGAGGUGCGUGGGAGCAUUCAGCCUUGAAUAACGUUCUAUUUCUCAUCCUGUGUUGCCUGGGGCCCUGCGCAGCUUGGGUUCUCCCUACCCUGUGGAAACUUUGCAAACUUCCAGGGCUUGGUCGCUGCGGAGGCUGCUACUCACCCUGGGAGAGCCGGGCCCUCCACCAGCUGCUGUGGGAAUGGCACAUCUGGCAUUCCGGCAGCCACUUCCUCUCCAGGGAAAAGCCUGGGCUCCACCCUCUGUGGUUUCACAUAGUGACGCUGGGGCUCCUGGGAAGGGGCAGGAGCGGCUGUGAGCUGUGAACAUCCUCCAGAGCUCCUGUGGGGAGGGGCAGGCUCCGCUCAGCUGAUUAAACAUUCUUCAUCUGGGGCGGACAUUUAAAGGGACCAUUGCAUGGCAUGGCCAGAUUUUCCAUAGCGGAAAAUUCUAUUUAACGAGGUGGGAAGCCCAGUUUAAAAAAAAAAAAAAAAGCAGCAGCAUCUAGGUAGGCUGGAAUAUUACUCCUCAGAGGUAGUAGCUUGAACCUUGACGAAGCAGUCCACUCUAGCUGGCAGGGAUCUCUUUAAUAAGCCAAGAUUCUUUGGGUUGCCGGUGACCGGAAAGCAACUUGAUCUAUACGGACAGACAAGGGCAUUUGUCAGCUCCUGAAAUCAGGACGGAAAUAUAGCUAGGUCUCAGGAAUGAAUGGAACCUGGGGUGUGCUGGAUCUGGCCCCUACUGGUUCUUGAGAGCUGAUUGUUCAAUUUUCAGGAAUUUUGUGAGCCAGUUGUUAAGCACAUCCACUGUUAAAAAUUAAACUAUAUAAACUCAGGCUUAACAAUUAUAUUAAACACAAAGUUAGUAAAUUCUUAAAAUUCAUCACUUCCUAAUUAUUUUGCUGCACUUUGCUAUUAUCUUUGCUCUUGAGAGUCUUUACAUGUAUUGUAACCGUAUGGUGGAAACACUCUAGAAUGGUGUGCUGUUGCCCAUCACUUUGCGACUCUAUUUUUCAGUGGUAUUAUGUUGGAAGCUUGAAAUUGGCCAUGGUAGAUGCAUUUAUACCACAGAAAUUCGCAAAUGCUGCAAAUCAGGGCUUGAUUUACUGCUUUGUUGGUUGUCUAGAGUCUAGACUUAAGAAUGUGAUGGACGGCUUCCCUGGUGGCACAGUGGUUGAGAGUCCGCCUGCCGAUGCAGGGGACACGGGUUCGUGCCCCAGUCCGGGAGGAUCCCGCAUGCCACGGAGCGGCUGGGCCCGUGAGCCAUGGCCGCGGAGCCUGCGCGUCCGGAGCCUGUGCUCCGCAACGGGAGAGGCCACAACAGUGAGAGACCGGCGUACUGCAAAAAGAAAAUAAGAAUGUGAUGGAAAAAAAUGUUGAUAAUGCAAAUUAAACUUAAAAGUAUGUCACAUCUAUAGUUUUUACAUUGUGAAUGGCAUCCAAAAAAAUGAGAAAAUAUUCUUUCCAUUUUUGAAAACUGUUCUCUACAAUCUUUGAUCUAGGACAGAUUUACAAAUGGCCACUUACCUGGAAUAUAUAUUAUUAGUUGUGUUUGGCUGGUAGGAACUUUACUGUUUUUAUUGCCUGUGUUUUACCUGGGGGAGAGACAACCACUAUCCUCUCUUCAUACUACAUUGCUUUUCUUGUUGGUAAAAAAGUGAUUUGGGGGGUUUUUCUUGUUGGUAAAAAAGUGAUUUGGGGGUUAUCUUGGUGGCCCUCAAAUUCCAAGCCAGUGUCUAUCUCCAAAGAGUCAGCCAGCGAGUUUGAAGUGUACAUUUUUGCUCUCCUUUAGAACCUUCAGUCCACAGCCUUUAUCAUCACCAUUUUCCACUGAUACUAGCAGACAAACUUGGCCCUCUUUCCCAACCUAGGUCAUGAGCAGAGCAGCUCAUGAAGUUCUUGUUCAGAAUCCUGAUUACAGAUGAUAAUCUCUGUGAACCUCCUUGAAGGAGAGCAGUUCUGCUGGGAAAGUGUGAGUGCUCCUGUGGAUUGGCACAGCUGGUGCGGCAGAGCGGGGUGGGGCAGGACAGAGCAGGAGAGGUGAUCCUACACAGGUCAUGCAACCCAGGACUACGGAAGGGGAAGGGAUCAUUGAACCCAUUACUGUGCCUCCUCACUGUUUUACCGAAACCAUUUAAAGAGCAGCAUAUAAAAGGAAGACUUUUAAAAAUCGUAAUUGUAUUCAAGGAUACAUUCCAAUGCCUUAUCUAAAUCUUUCCUUCUAUACUGUAAGUUGAUUUCUUCUUAUUCAAUUUUCCAGGCAUCUACAAAAAAAAAUUGUGUUUUAGAUAUUGAAGCUUCCUAAAACUCCCCGUUCAUCUUCUCUUCUGAACAAAACUUUUUUUAAAAGAGCCUUUUAAAUUUCUCCCACUGUGGUUUCACGGCAUCACUUUUCGGACAUUUGGUUUUUGUCUUUAAGACAAAGGGCUGCUCUAAUUUUUCUAAUAUUUUUUAAAAGAUUUGGCCUCGUGAAAACUUUUAUACUUUCUUCCUUGCUGAUUCCUCCCUUCUUUGAAUUUUUAAAAAGAUCAUGGUCAGUGCUACAUAAUUUAUUUCUUUCUAUUUGUUUCUUGUGUGGAGCUCUUUUCUACACCCAAGAAAAAUAUUGGGUUGGCCCAAAAGUUCCUUCGGUUUUAAAGUAACAAUAAAAGACACAUUUUCAUUUUCACCAAGAACUUUAUUGAACAACGUAGUCACCAUUUAUUCCACUACCUUCUGCCAUUUUUUCAGGCAACUUCAUAAUUCCAUCUUCCCAAAACUUUUUAUCUGUUUGAGCAAAGAACUGUUCCAGGUGCCUUUUACAGUCUUCCAGGGAAUUGAAAUUUUUUCCAUUAAGAGAAUUUUGUAAAGACCAAAAUAAAUGGAAAUCUGAAGGUGCAAUGUCUGGUGAAUAUGGUCAAUGAAUCGAAACUUCCCAGCCAAGCUGUAGCAGUUUUUGCCUGGUCAGCAAAGAAACAUGCGGUCUUGCGUGAUCCUGAUGGAAGAUUAUGUGUUUUUUUUUGUUUUGUUUUGUUUUGUUUGCGGUACCCGGGCCUCUCACUGUUGUGGCCUCUCCCGUUGUGGAGCACAGGCUCUGGUC
Orcinus orca (killer whale) is the source of this 4381-nucleotide long non-coding RNA. RefSeq lists it as uncharacterized. The transcript has 7 exons. NCBI's taxonomy places the organism in Eukaryota, Metazoa, Chordata, Mammalia, Artiodactyla, Delphinidae. The record is from RefSeq and is a predicted model, not a curated record.